CACGUAGGGGCCAAGCGUUGUCCGGAUUUAUUGGGCGUAAAGAGCUCGUAGGCGGCUCGGUAAGUCGGGUGUGAAACCUCCAGGCUCAACCUGGAGACGCCACCUGAUACUGCUGUGGCUAGAGUCCGGUAGGGGAGCGUGGAAUUCCUGGUGUAGCGGUGAAAUGCGUAGAUAUCAGGAGGAACACCGGUGGUGUAGACGGCUCUCUGGACCGUAACUGACGCUGAGACACGAAAGCGUGGGUAGCAAACAGG
Molecule: ribosomal RNA, 254 nt
Filed under: uncultured bacterium
Lineage: Bacteria
Description: partial 16S ribosomal RNA
Rfam family: Bacterial small subunit ribosomal RNA
Source: RNAcentral